Amblyraja radiata (thorny skate) is the source of this 161-nucleotide long non-coding RNA. RefSeq lists it as uncharacterized. The transcript is spliced from 3 exons. The record is from RefSeq and is a predicted model, not a curated record. NCBI's taxonomy places the organism in Eukaryota, Metazoa, Chordata, Chondrichthyes, Rajiformes, Rajidae.
AAUGGCAGCAAUGGGAUCCACACCACACACGUUGACUGGGAAAACGCCAGCAGAGCUGAUGAUAGGGCGAAACCUGCGAACAAAACUGAAUGCUCUUCAACCAUCAUCGCACCCAAAUCCAGACACAAAAGCGAGGGCGGAAACGAUAGCACACAGACAAG